UUUAAGUGUAAUUAUGAGAUUUUGUGUCUAACAUUAGACCGUCUGUCUUAUAUAAAAAAUAUGAUUUUUUUUUAAAAAAAGUCACGCAUAAAGUAUGUUUUAUCUAUAAUAAAAAUAAAAGUAUUAAUCAAAAAAAAAUUAAAUAAGAUAGAUGGUUAAACUUCGUUGGACAAAGAAACACACUACUGCUUUUUUU
Oryza sativa Indica Group (long-grained rice) is the source of this 196-nucleotide microRNA precursor. It matches the Rfam family "MIR812 microRNA precursor family". The record is from Rfam. NCBI's taxonomy places the organism in Eukaryota, Viridiplantae, Streptophyta, Magnoliopsida, Poales, Poaceae.